Xenopus tropicalis (tropical clawed frog) is the source of this 6440-nucleotide RNA transcript. It is a transcript of the gene named family with sequence similarity 13 member B, with no coding region annotated. Lineage: Eukaryota; Metazoa; Chordata; Amphibia; Anura; Pipidae. The transcript is spliced from 24 exons. The record is from RefSeq and is a predicted model, not a curated record.
CUGCCCCACGCAUGCGUAGUUGGAAGGAAGGCAGUGGAUUUGGCAGACUGACGAGCUGUGGGUGUGAGGAAAGAAUAGGUCAAUUCCCCUUUCGUCAAAUAUAGCUAUAUAUUUAUAUUUAGCGCCUGUUUCCAGCGCCUUUCGCUCUCACCUCGUUUUGUUUGCGUCGGAAGCGCAAAAUCUGCAAGGCUUAUUGUAUUGUUUGAGAGGAGCCUGUGUCAUAUUUGCAGGUGGUACUGCCAGCAUCUUUGGAUUUAGGCUUCCUGAGCAAGUAAUUUGAACCACUUGAUGCUAUAUGGUUGCAUCUUGUUCAGAUUGUGGCCCUUUAGCAGUUAAUGACAUACUGCUGAAGAGCUAAUCGAGCUUUGGAUUUCUUCAAUGAGGAACUAUAGGCUGAUCUUCUGCCACAAUCUUAAGCAGCCAUAAAUUACCAAAAAGUCUGUGCUUAUUGAGGUUACCUGUCAGUGGUAGAGUUUUAAAACUAUUGCUUACGGUCUUGAGUAGUGUAUAAAUACACAUCUCUGUGCGCUUGCUCGGCUGUCCGAUGAUGCCGCACUAAGGAACUUCUCCAAACUGGAAAAUCUGUGCAUCGGUCUACACAAAAGGCAGCUGUAAUUUCUGGCCUAAAAGAUAUGAGGAAAAGUUCUUAUCCUUCCUUGGAAAACUGCAAUAUUAUUGCUAACAAGAUAUUUGGAAUUUCACUUGCUGAGCUACAACAGGAAGGGCAGCCAGAUCAUGAAGUCCCCUUCAUAGUUCGUCAUAUUGUGAACUAUAUUGAAGUACAUGGAGGCCUUGAGCAAGAAGGACUGUUCCAAGUAAAUGGAAAUGCAGAGACCGUAGAAUGGCUCAGGCAAAGGUACGACAAUGGAGAAGAAGUGGACCUGGUCAAAGAAGCAGAUGUGCCAUCUGCUAUUAGUUUGCUUAGAUAUUUUCUUCAAGAACUUCCACAGCCCAUAAUUCUACAUAGCCUUCAUCAUCGCUUUAUGCAGCUUUCUCAAGAUUUUGAUAAUGAAAAUGAGUUUUCCAGGAAAUUGCAAUACCUAUUGCAGCAGCUACCAUCCAUUAAUUACAGCUUGCUCAAGUUUCUCUGCAGAUUUCUAGCUAACGUAGCAUCAAAUCAUGAAGAAAUGUGGCCAACAACUGCUUUGGCCGCUGUUUUUGGUCCAGAUCUUUUUCAUAUUUACUCUGAUGAUGAUAUGAAGGAACAAGAGAUAGUGACCAAAAUAAUGACUGGGCUUCUGGAACGGUAUUGUGAUUAUUUUGAAACAGAAGAGGAAUUUUCUUCAAACAAUAUCAGUUCUAUAACUGAGCAGAAUAAUGAUUUACAAAAAGAUUUUAAGGAAGAAAAUGCAGAGGUCACGUCUGAAGAAUGCUUUGAAGUGAUUGAAGAACCCAGUGUAAUCAAGGUGGAUAUUUCCGAAGACCUUUUGGAGUUAAAUGAUGUCAUUGCUUCCACAAGCCAAGAUAUCUCGGUGGAUAAUGCCAAUAUUGAAAGUGAUGAUACGGAAUACUCAGAGCCUUUGAGUAGCUCCUUCUCUGAAUAUCAAGAUACUGAAAAUAGUGUUUUUUCUAAUCUGGCACAGGAACAAACACAGGUGUCUGAUAUUUUAUUGGAAAUAACUGAUGAGCAAACAAAUGAUGAUGGUGUUACAGAUAAAGACUUUUUUAUUGAAAGUGACAGACUCGAUAAAACCAAUGAUGACUACUAUAGACCUCAUUCUCCAGCUAUGGAUUCCAGUAAUUGUGAUUACAAUGCAAACCUUGAAUUUGAGACGUUGCAAGCAGGUGUCUCCGCUAAACAUGAAGCCAUGAGCAUUCAUCAUCUACAGCUAAGAAAUAUUUCCAGUGAUGAUCUGGAAGAACCAUUCCCUGAUUUCAAAUCUUGGCAGCAAGACUUAGAAUAUGGAGAAGCCCAGCUCUCACCUCAGGCUGGAAGAAUGAAUUAUUAUGUAGAAGAAGACACCACUCCGGUGCGAUCACAUCGUUCGUUGGAUUUUGGACAGAGUCAGCGCUUUUUGCAUAAUCCAGAGUCAGACUGCGCAUCUAUGACAUUUUAUAUUAGGACAAGAAAAGCUUCAUUCAUUGCCAGAGAUGAGAAACGAGAAGACAAAACACCAUAUCAGCUAGUUAAAAAAUUGCACAAGAAAAUCCGCCAAUAUGAAGAACAGUUUGAAACUGAGAAAAGUAUCAAGCCAACAUAUAAUGAUAUUGCUGGCAAUCCAAGGGUUCUUAAGUGGAUGACAGACCUUACCAAAUUGAAAAGGCAAAUAAAAGAUGCAAAGCACAAAAACCUGGAUGAUGAGUUUUUACCUCAAAUACGUCCUCGCAGCAACACGCUUCCAAAAAGUUUUGGAUCGUCUCUUGAACAUGAGGAGCAGGAUGAAACAAAAGCAGACAAGAAGCCUAGUCAAGAAGCAACUCUUGAACUUAUUCUUAAGAGAUUACAAGAAAACAGAAGUGAAAAGGGCCUUCCAGAGAAAAUUAAUAUGAAAAUGACAAAAGACAACCUUGCAGAGGAAAAGACUUCUCUCCAGAAGAGUCUGCUUUAUUAUGAAAGUUUACAUGGGCGUCCGGUAACAAGGGAAGAAAGACAAAUCGUGAAACCGCUUUAUGAUCGCUACCGUCUUGUGAAGCAGAUGCUGGCACGAGCAACUAUUACUCCGAUUCUUGGCUCACCCUCUUUAAAACGUCGAGCUCAGAUCUUGCCACCGAUCAUAGAAGGCGAAACAUCUAAUUUUUUUGAUGACAUAAAGCAGGAGGAAGAGGAUGAAAAUAGCAGCCUGUUCUCAGACAGUGGUGACAACACAUGUAUCACGGAGCAGAAACAGGAUGAAACUCCCUUCGUGAAACAUCAAGUAAAAGUGUCAAGAGACAGAUUAUCAAGUUCUAGGACUACUUCUAUACACAGACACAGGAGCUGAAAGCAGGGAGCGUGUGAUGUCACGCCGGGGGGCGGGGCAAGGAACCAGGAAGGAGCGGAGCACAGAAGAGCACACAUGGAAUCAGGACAGAAUUGCUGGAGCAACUCUGGAAAACGAAAGCAGAAAAAAAGAAACUGCGUCAGUCUUUACGGGAGUUUGAAGAGGAAUUCCAUCAGCAGAAUGGAAGGAAUGUGCAGAAAGAUGACCGAGCCCCAAUGUUGGAAGUAUACAGAGAGUACAAGAAAGUUAAAGCCAAACUGAGACUUUUGGAAGUUCUAAUCAGCAAGCAAGAUUAUGCAAAAUCUUAUUGACGGCCAUGUUCCAUAAAGCUCUUAUUGGAAUUCUAUUUCAACCCAAGUGUAUGCACUUUUUAUAUUUCCACUCACAGAAUGUCAUUACUAGGAAUGAACACUUUGUAUGCACCCAGUGAGUCCCAACCCGUCGCUCACAGAUCCUUUUUCUAACUUCUUUCUUACAGUUUUUGCUCAAAAUGCAUUGUUUUCAAUGUUUGGUUUUUUCCAGUUUGGAAGAAGCUUUUUGUGGAAGGAUUCAGUUUCAUAAAGAAAACAUGUUUGGAAAACCCUAGACUUCUGUGUAGGAAUCCAUAUUAGAGUAUAUAUGUUAUGCAACGUAUAGAUGUUGUCUUUUAUUGAUAGCGGAAAUUCCAUGCUACCUGCCCAUGCUGAAAACCAUAAUCUUAAUAUCUGUUUGUGCUACGAUAUCCGUAAUUGUUCUUAAGGGGGACUAUAUUGAAAAACAACAAUUUUAAUAUGCGUGCAAUCUCAUGGAAAUAAUGAACUUUCUAAAUAUAAUAAUAUUAUUAUAUAAUUUCUGAAAUUAUCCAGUUUUGCUUCAGUAUUUUCCCUCUCUGCAGUUGCUUUUCAUUCAGCUUAGGGUAAAUCAGUUAUUUUGAAAUUUCUAUUAUCUGGAAUUCUUAGGACCUGGGGUUUUCCAGAUAAGAGAUCUUUUCUUAAUUUGGAUUUUUAUACCCUUAAAUCUGCUGAAUAUCGUUUAGAAAUCCAUCCCAAUACGGGAAAUGGCCUUCCCGUAAUUCAGAACUUUUUGGAUAAGGGAUCCCAUACCUGUAGUUGAUUCUAAUAGAGGCAAAGGCAAUGCACGACAAUGUAUUGGACCUGACACAAAUCUGCACAAAGGCAGACAGAUUGCUGAGAGGGGGGUUAAUUAGGGUUAAUGGAAUUACGGGAUUAUUUCAGAAACAGUACAGAAUAUUGAAUUGAUUUUAUUUAGAAAGUUAUUUCCAUGAGAUGAAGCUCAUAUGAAAUUUUCAAUUUCACAGAAGUUCCCCUUUAAUCUCCACGAUCAUAGCAGUUAAGCUACAGACUACAUAUCUAACUCCACAAUCAUUCUCUUCUACUUGGUUCAUUGUAAGAAGCAAUGGUGGGAAGCAUGUAUCAGUCAAAGGCAUGGAACAGGGGGACAGUUUAUUAUUCCUCCCCUACAUUCAAAGUGACUGAACGUUGUAUGAAAUGACUUGGACUUUUUAUUUGUGUGUAUGAGAUUUCAGUACCGGAUUCAACUAUUUCUGUUUAAUAGGCAAUCCAUGUUAUAGGUGGAAUAGGCAGAGGGAUAACACUAGCCAACAUUUAGCAUUGUUGCUAUCAGCUUGAAGCUUUGGGCCAGUGAAUAUUUUCUCUGUCAUUCUGCUGCAGUACAUUCUAUCAUUGUACCAUGAAGCAGUGUUGUUUAGGCAGGCAGCGGCCCCUGCGAGCAGCUUUCUCUCCUCUCACUCUCGCACACUGUACUUCAGCCGUUCUGUAUCACAGCAAGGUGCAAAGGAACCUUAUUUUUUCAGGCCUGGACUGGGAAUCAAAAUAGGCCCUGGCAUUUCAAGUACACAGAGGCCCAAACUGCCCCCACAGGGCCCUGUACAUAGUGUCGGUCUAUGGCAUCUUACAGCAGCCCCUCUGCCAUUUGCCAGAACCCACAGAUUGCCAGUCCGGGCCUGUCUAUAGUGUGUGCAGUUCCUAUCAUUGAGCUUUGCAAUAUCAUCACCUCACAUCCAAGUGUAACAUUCCUACAGACACAAACAGAAGGUUUCAGCACGGGCGGCCAGCUGCCAUCUUGCAUAUCCUGCUAAUGCUUGCUUGUAUUAUUCUCUUGCUCUUCCCCAUGCUCAUUUAUUUCUAUAGCUUACCCUUUGUUCAGCUGCUUUAUUCUACACUUGUACUGAUUUCAAAACCUUUUUUUUUUUUUUUUUAGAGGAAACAUUUUUUUUUAUCACCAAUAAUUUCAAAUGUCUUGGCUUUGAAUCUAUCUAUUUUAAGUUUCUAUUCUAGCACAAUUGGAUAUUUUGUGUUGUAUUUGUAAGUUUGUUUUUCUGUAUGCAAUAUUUGCAUCCUAUAGAAAGCACUUAAUGUAGUUGGUCACUGGCGGAGACUACUUUAUUGCAGACAAAUAGAAACUGUCCUGUCUCUUUCUAAUAUUUCUCUAGUACCAAAAGCCAUAACAAUGUAUUUAUACAUCAUUUAACUGAAUAACAAGUCAUACAGAGAGGCUGAGAACAGAUCCUUCCUUCUGACAUCACAGGUCAAAUUGAGUGGUCAGGAAAUGUCCAAAAUUAAUAUUUUUUCCUAUGUGAAAAAUCUUUAGGGUUGCCAUAGAUUAAAAGAUUAGCUCAUUUGGUGAGCCCACCUCAAGGGGAGCAUAUCAGGGAAAGAUCCACUCAUUCAGUGGCACCGGUGAGCAGAUCUCCCCCCAAUAUGCCCACCUUGAUUGGAUCAUAAUUGCUGAUAUGCAGGCCAUUGGACUGAGGGCUGCAUCAAUGCACAGAUCCAGUCCCGACAGGAAAACCAAACCUGCAUGAUGAAUUUGCUCCCAAAUAUCAGGCAGUCAGUUCCUGCUGGAGGGUCCCCUACAUGGGCCGAUAAGCUGCCGACUUUCUGUAUGGCCAUCAGGUACUUAACCCCAAAAGACUGAAGCCUGUUAAUACUUGUGGGGCUGCAAUACCUUUCCAAACACCCUAUUUCUGUUUUCUCUAGAUUAAAACAUUAAAAGAUUUUGAGUUUUACUUCUUUUUAUAUAAAAAUGUGUCGCCGUAAGGUUUGUUAUUCUGUGAAAUGAGAGUAAAUUGGUCAGGAGUCUGACUCUCCAAUAAAUGUAGUUGCUACCUGUGUAUAUUUUUAAUGUUAUUUUUCCAUAACAUACAUGGCAGGUAUUGAUAUAUUUGGCUUUCUUUAUAUAUUUUUAAUAUAUUCCUCAGUUUACGUUUGUUGUUUUCCCUCCAGCCCUAGUCAGUGUGCACUGCCGAAGGUUCCUAUGGAUAUUACGUGUGCUUGUUGCUUAUAGACCCUGUGCCUGUUCCCUCCUAUAUUAGACAAGCAUGGCAGACCUUGUGAGAGUCCUGACUGUGAUGCAAUGCAUCCGCUGCAAAUGUAUAUAUUUCAUAUGAUCUAUUUUUGUUGGAUUCGCUGUUACUGUGCAGAGCUAAAUAGGUAUCUGUAAUUGCAUCCGAUGUGCAGCUAUUUCCCUCUCAUUUGUAAUAAAACCAUUUUAACCUUC